RNAcentral lists this small RNA (762 nucleotides) under Pongo abelii (Sumatran orangutan). Its description in RNAcentral is "processed transcript". Lineage: Eukaryota; Metazoa; Chordata; Mammalia; Primates; Hominidae. The record is from RNAcentral.
ACCAGGAGACUCUCUGUUCAUCUCUGGGGUGCUGUCUCUGGGCAGCUUUCUUCUCUCUGAAUUAAGAAAAAGAGAGAGCAAGAACGUUAUGCUGAAGAGCAGAGGAUCGUAAGAAUGAACUUUCAUGAAGAUCCGUAUUCAGGAGAGAAGAUGAGUGAGAUAUUAGCCCAGUUACAACUUGAAGAAAUAAAAGGAGCCAGAGAAAAACAACAGAGAGAAAAAGAAUACCUGAGAUAUGUAGAAGCUUUACGAGCCCAAAUCCAGGAGAAAAUGCAGCUGUAUAAUAUUACUUUACCUCCACUAUGCUGUUGUGGUCCUGAUUUUUGGGAUGCUCAUCCUGAUACCUGUGCCAACAACUGUAUUUUCUAUAAAAACCACAGAGCAUAUACUCGGGCACUACAUUCAUUCAUCAAUUCCUGUGAUGUCCCUGGGGGUAAUUCAACUCUUCGAGUCGCAAUUCAUAAUUUUGCUUCUGCACACAGGCGGACUUUGAAAAAUCUAUAGUAAGAAUCUGAAAUUAACUGGUAGUAUUUUGGCUUUUACUUAAAAUCAGCCCUGAGAGAGUAUUUAAGAAAAGCUGUUCAAGUUAUAAAAUAUAUAAUCUGGAAAGAAAUACUGUCUCAUAUAAUAACUGUCUUUAUAAUUAGAUUGUAAUCAUUGUUUUAAUCUCUGCCUUGGAACCAAGAUUGAAAACUGACUUCUCUUCUUUCUUGUGAACCAUGUGGAGCCUGUUAUUUUAAAACAUGAUCAGACAAGUAAGGC